This 1243-nucleotide ribosomal RNA is filed under the name metagenome. RNAcentral describes it as "bacterial SSU rRNA". It matches the Rfam family "Bacterial small subunit ribosomal RNA", at positions 164 to 1388 of the family's 1533-position model. The record is from RNAcentral.
UAAUACCCGAUAUUGCUCGGAACCGAUGGGUUCCGUUCCAAAGGCGGUCCUGCCGCCGCAAGAGGAUGGGGCUGCGUCCUAUUAGCUAGUUGGUAGGGUAAUGGCCUACCAAGGCUUUGAUGGGUAGCUGGUCUGAGAGGAUGGCCAGCCACAUUGGGACUGAGAUACGGCCCAGACUCCUACGGGAGGCAGCAGUGGGGAAACUUGGACAAUGGACGAAAGUCUGAUCCAGCGACACCGCGUGGGGGAUGAAUGCCUUCGGGUUGUAAACCCCUUUUCUGGGGAAAGAAUAAGGACGGGAGGAAAUGCCAGUCCGAUGACGGUACCCCAGGAAUAAGCAUCGGCAAACUUCGUGCCAGCAGCCGCGGUAAGACGAAGGAUGCGAGCGUUAUCCGGAAUUACUGGGCGUAAAGGGCGUCUAGGCGGUCUAGUAAGUCAUUUGUGAAAUCCCUCGGCUCAACCGAGGAGGGUCUUGUGAUACUGCUGGACUUGGGUGUAGGAGAGGAGAGUGGAACUCACAGAGUAGCGGUGGAAUGCGUAGAUACUGUGAGGUACCCCGAUGGCGAAGGCAACUCUCUGGCCUGCCACCGACGCUGAAGCGCGAAAGCGUGGGGAGCAAAGGGGAUUAGAUACCCCCGUAGUCCACGCCCCAAACGAUGUUCACUUGGUGUCGGCCGCAUAUACUGGUCGGUGCCGAAGCUAACGCGUUAAGUGAACCGCCUGAGGAGUACGGCCGCAAGGCUAAAACUCAAGAGAAUUGACGGGUCCCCGCACAAGCGGUGGAGCACGUGGUUUAAUUCGAUAAGCGAAGAACCUCACCCAGGCUUGACAUACUAGUGGUAGGAACCUGAAAGGGGGACGACCCUGCCUUCGGGUAGGGAGCUAGUACAGGUGAUGCAUGGCUGUCGUCAGCUCGUGUCGUGGGAUGUAGGGUUAAGUCCCGAAACGAGCGCAACCCUUGUCGUUAGUUGCCAGCGGGUAAUGCCGGGGACUCUAACGAGACUGCUGGUGAAUAGCCGGAGGAAGGCGGGGAUGACGUCAAGUCAUCAUGUCCCUUAUGCCUGGGCCGACACACAUGCUACAAUGGGAGGUACGAAGGGUCGCAAUACCGUAAGGUGGAGCCAAUCUCAAAAAACCUUCCUCAGUUCGGAUUGAGGUCUGCAACUCGACCUCAUGAAGCCGGAAUCGCUAGUAAUCGCAGGUCAGCCACACUGCGGUGAAUAUGUACUCGGGGAUUGUACAC